This is an RNA transcript of Capsicum annuum, 1614 nucleotides long. It is a transcript of the gene named tRNA-specific adenosine deaminase TAD2, with no coding region annotated. NCBI's taxonomy places the organism in Eukaryota, Viridiplantae, Streptophyta, Magnoliopsida, Solanales, Solanaceae. The transcript is spliced from 3 exons. The record is from RefSeq and is a predicted model, not a curated record.
UUUCCCAUUGCAUCUGAUUUUAGCUUGAGGGAUUUUAUUAGUGGCCAUUGUAAUUGCUUUGUCCAUUUGAAUACCUUGUUGAAAUUCACAUGCAUCUAGAUAUUCAAUUUAGACAUUGAUGCAUUGAAUAUGUUUGAUAAUAUGCCUAAAUCAACUUUUUUUUUUUUUUUUUUUUAAAUUCUCUAUUGAAAGGUGUUCUACAAUAUACUGAUCUAUUUUUCAGCAAUUCCAGAGGUGAAAGAUGAUGUAAAAGUAUCAGUAAAACGUUUCAAUACUGUCUAGGUGCUAUCAACAAAAGUCUUAAUUUGAAUUCUAGAUCCAAUAUUAAUGAUAAAAUGACGAGACAUCAUCUGCAAACCAAGAUGAAUCUAUUCUAGGGACAGCAUUAAAACUUGCCAACAAUUCACUUCAACUGAAGAACUAAGGGGAAGGACGAGAAAGUACUCCGUAUUAUUUUAGAAACUAAAAUGAAUCUAGGGCCAUAAAUUUUACGUUGAUAUAAAAGCUUGAAUUUACUUUUUUUUUGAUGCUAAACAAGACUCUGAAAGAUAAGAUGUUGUUCUACCUGCAUGUAUCAUGAGUAGCCAAUUUUUGGGAACAAGUAAUCAUUGUCCUCACGAGUGCUCCGGACAACUUGGCGUUCCAAACAACCAGUAGAUGGCGAGCUAUGCCGAAGAGACAGUUAAAUUUAUGAAGCUUGCUUUAGAACAAGCAAAGGAUGCAUUAGUCAAUCUUGAAGUUCCAGUGGGUUGCGUCUUUGUUGAGGAUGGGGAAGUCAUUGCCUCAGGAAGAAAUCGAACGACUGAAACAAGAAAUGCUACAAGACAUGCAGAAAUGGAAGCAAUUGAUUUUCUAGUUGAACAGUGGCAGAAAAAUGGACUUUCACCUCUUGAAGUUUCUGAAAGAUUCUCAAAGUGCACUCUGUAUGUCACCUGUGAGCCAUGUAUAAUGUGUGCAGCAGCCUUGUCAUAUCUUGGAAUAAAGGAGGCAUAUUAUGGAUGCGGAAAUGAUAAAUUUGGAGGUUGUGGAUCUAUACUAUCACUGCAUACCAGCUGCUCUGAGCUUCCAACUAGUGAGUUAGCCUCAUCAAAAAAGGGUUUCAAAUGCACCGGUGGAAUAAUGGCUUCUGAAGCGGUCUCUCUUCUUCGGAGUUUCUAUGAGCAAGGAAAUCCAAAUGCACCAAAGCCUCACAGACCUCUAACGCAGCAAGUAUAGAAGUACAAGUGUCAGUGUCAGUGUCAGUUCUGGUAUGAGAGUGUUUAAAGUUUUUGAUUUUGGCAAUCGAAAAAGAGCGAUAGAGCAACUGGAAAAAAGAAUCUACACAUUUGAAGACAUUGUUUGUCAAAUCUAAUUCUUCAGGUGUUUGGAAAAAAUCCGUCUUGCUUCUUCAUUCCUUUAUCCUCUACUCAGAGCUUCAGCUGUGCUUGAUUCUAUCUCGAUUUACUUUGAUUUUUGUGAGUUUGCAUUGUAAGAUUAAUUUUACAUCUUAUGGAAUUGUUAUUAUGAACUUUUCAACAAUAUGUUUCAUGACAAAUUUGUUCAUAUAGAUGUAAUGAUGGAUUCCAAAUUAUGUGGAUUCCCUUUUUACCAAGAAAAGAAGAAACAACAACCCAA